This 253-nucleotide ribosomal RNA is filed under the name uncultured bacterium. RNAcentral describes it as "partial 16S ribosomal RNA". It matches the Rfam family "Bacterial small subunit ribosomal RNA", at positions 524 to 776 of the family's 1533-position model. The record is from RNAcentral.
UACGGAGGGUGCAAGCGUUGUCCGGAAUUACUGGGCGUAAAGCGCGUGUAGGCGGCCCUGCAUGUCGGGUGUGAAAUCCCACGGCUCAACCGUGGAAGUGCACUCGAAACUGCAGGGCUAGAGUCCUGGAGAGGAAGGUGGAAUGCUUGGUGUAGAGGUGAAAUUCGUAGAUAUCAAGCGGAACACCGGUGGCGAAGGCGGCCUUCUGGACAGUGACUGACGCUGAGACGCGAAAGCGUGGGGAGCAAACAGG